UUCCUUUCGCCGGGGCGGCAAAGUCCCUAUAUUAGGGGGGUCGGGAAACCGACUACGGUGCUAAACGGGCACGCGAAAUAAGCGUUGCGGACCCGGGGGCAGUACCCGGCGCCUCCACCAAAUCCCAGUUAAGGCCCAGCCAAGACGGGCCUCGUUAUGGGGGCGAAACAGGAUCGACGCGCGUGGUAAAGGCAUGUUCGGCGCCCGGCAUGGUACCGCCGUUAUCGGGCCAUUCGAUAGUUGCGAACGACAACUACCGUGAGGCGCGCCUCGCUGCCUAAGGGCGGCUGGCAAGCCUAAGCUAAGCCCUCGGCCUUCACACGUCGAGGCGGGGUUCGGGGCAACACCUGGCAACAGAAGUUGCCCCACU
This 370-nucleotide transfer-messenger RNA is filed under the name Rhodospirillales bacterium. It matches the Rfam family "Alphaproteobacteria transfer-messenger RNA". Rfam says of the family: Bacterial tmRNA, also known as 10Sa RNA or SsrA, is named for its dual tRNA and mRNA-like properties. Lineage: Bacteria; Pseudomonadati; Pseudomonadota; Alphaproteobacteria; Rhodospirillales. The record is from RNAcentral.